AGGCCUGGUCACCAAACUUCUAGACUUGCUCGGCGAACUGACGCUUCAAAAUGAGUUGAAGAAACUGCAAGAUGGUCAAGCAAUCGGGAAUGAAAAACAUCAAAGACAACUUAUCGAUCUUAUAAUGGAACAACGCCUACUCCUUGCCGAAGCUAUAUUCUGCAUCGCUUGUCAAACGCCUUUGUCGCAAGCAGAGACUUUGAAGGUUUUUGGUUAUUUGAAGGACGUCAGUCCAAAUGACGCGACGGGGGAAAUCGAUCAAGCUGAUUUAUUUGUAUUUUUCGCCUUGUUGUAUUCACUCAAUGUCAGCAGCUUGGAAACACAGUCAGAACUGCCCGCAAAUAAUG
Non-coding RNA from Paramuricea clavata, 347 nucleotides. The record is from the annotation of a GenBank genome assembly. NCBI's taxonomy places the organism in Eukaryota, Metazoa, Cnidaria, Anthozoa, Malacalcyonacea, Plexauridae.